GCUGGAAUGGCCGAGUGGUUAAGACGGUGGACUUAGGAUCCCCUGGGGUGUAUCCCUGCGCGGGUACGAACCCCACUUCAAGCA
This 84-nucleotide transfer RNA is filed under the name Trichobilharzia regenti. It matches the Rfam family "tRNA". From Rfam's summary of the family: Transfer RNA (tRNA) molecules are approximately 80 nucleotides in length. Their secondary structure includes four short double-helical elements and three loops (D, anti-codon, and T loops). Lineage: Eukaryota; Metazoa; Platyhelminthes; Trematoda; Strigeidida; Schistosomatidae. The record is from Rfam by way of RNAcentral.